Molecule: long non-coding RNA, 331 nt
Organism: Cydia splendana
Lineage: Eukaryota; Metazoa; Arthropoda; Insecta; Lepidoptera; Tortricidae
Exons: 2
Source: RefSeq, a predicted model, not a curated record
AUGUCACAUUUUCUUGACCCCCUCCCUCCCCCUAAACGUGUGACGUAAUUAAUGGAUGACCCCUAAGGCGAAAAUUAUUAAAACAAUUUAUUUGAAUAAAUAUAACUUUAUUCAUCUGGAUGAAACAUACAAAAUCUUAAAACGAAUUGAACAAUGUCACACAAGAUAAUAUUAAACAUUAUUAAUAAUGAGGAUCAAUUGAAGUGCACUUGACGAGAUAUUUUUAAGAGAAAUUUAAUAAAAUUAUUCUUAUAAUUAAAUGGUGCUAGCCUAAGACACAAUUAUUUUACAAAUCAACAAGGAUUUUAUACAAUUAAAUUAUUACUAACUA